GAUGAAGAACGUAGCGAAAUGCGAUACGUAGUGUGAAUUGCAGAAUUCAGUGAAUCAUCGAAUCUUUGAACGCACAUUGCACCUCUCGGUAUUCCGGGAGGUAUGCCUGUUCGAGCGUCAUUUGUACCCUCAAGCUCUGCUUGGUGUUGGGUGUUUGUUCCGCCUCUGUGUGUGAACUCGCCUCAAAACAAUUGGCAGCCGGCGUACUUGUUUCGGAGCGCAGCACAUUUUGCGAUCCAGAUCAACGUACAGCGGCAUCCAAGAAGCCUUAUUUAACGCUCUUGACCUCGGAUCAGGUUGGGAUACCCGCUGAACUUAAGCAUAUCAAUAAGCGGAGGA
This 339-nucleotide unclassified non-coding RNA is filed under the name soil metagenome. Its description in RNAcentral is "partial contains 5.8S ribosomal RNA, internal transcribed spacer 2, and large subunit ribosomal RNA". The stretch from base 1 to 120 matches the Rfam family "5.8S ribosomal RNA", at positions 35 to 154 of the family's 154-position model. The record is from RNAcentral.